UGUGUGGAAUAUGAUGAUUGUUUUAUAUGCUGUAUUAUAUGUUUUGUGUCACGAUAUAUGUAUGUUAUUUGGGUGUAAAGCAAAGCUAGUACUUGCUGUUGCUGAACUGUAGUCUUUAUCCCAAAAAUUAGAACACAAUUUAUUAUUAUGUAACUACAUUUCCUUUUAAUUUAAGAAGAACCAACAAGGAAGUACCUAGAAUAUCACCAAUAAAUUAUUUUGAAUCCUGCUAUUACUGCUACCAUAUUUUGUUGUAUAUUAUUAAAAAAGGACUACGACUUCCGGUUAAUUCAGUUAAAUAAAUAUUGGUAUGUGCUGUCAGACAAUUUGAGAAUACCCAGAAUACUAUUCUUGAAUCUUGGUAUUUAUUGUCUGCAAAAUAAAUAGUAAAUCAGGAAAUGCCUAAAAUACUGGUAAAUUAUCUUGAAUCCUGGAAUUACUACCACCUGAUUUUCUUUUAAUUUAAGAAAUAACUAGAGACCACUAGUAAAAUAUCUUGAAUAUUAUAAUUACUAUUACUGGAAUAUGAAGGACCAAGACAUCCCUACCAAUGAAUUAUCUUGAAUCCUAGUUGGUAAUUGUCACCAGAUUUUCCUUUAAUUUAAGAAGGACCAAGAAUACCAGCCAAUUAAUAGAAAUAGCCAUUUUUGAUUAAAAAAAAACUACUAGUCAAUUAUCUGAAAUAAUUAUUGUAUGUGUAUUGUCACUCAUUUUGAGAAUACUGAGAAUAUCAAUCUUGAAUCCAGGUAAGUAUUAUAACAAUAUUUUCAAAAAUGAGAAGCUUAUCUCAAAGGAUAAGCUAAUCCCCAACAGCAGGAUCGGGCAGUGCAAGCUGAGCUACGAAAGGACGAGGAAGGACUCUCUCUCAAUUUUGCUUGAAGGCACCUGCUCUUUUUUAUGUAAAUGGCAAGGAGAGUUGGAUUUCCUCUUGCACUGGAACGGGCAAAAGCUGCAUGACUGUUCCGGCUGUUUGCCGCAUUCGUACCGGAGAUGCUGCAUCAGAUGUGACUUCCUCUUGUAGCUCCUGUCGCAAUUUUGGCAAAAGUGUCUAGCUAUAAAUGAAAAA
Long non-coding RNA from Cimex lectularius (bed bug), 1066 nucleotides. RefSeq lists it as uncharacterized. The transcript has 2 exons. The record is from RefSeq and is a predicted model, not a curated record. Lineage: Eukaryota; Metazoa; Arthropoda; Insecta; Hemiptera; Cimicidae.